Molecule: long non-coding RNA, 204 nt
Filed under: Nicotiana benthamiana
Lineage: Eukaryota; Viridiplantae; Streptophyta; Magnoliopsida; Solanales; Solanaceae
Description: long non-coding RNA (NBEN_LNC034407)
Source: RNAcentral
AGGCUUCGUGGCCUAGGGUCCAUUCUUGGUGGUACCUCUGGUUCCAUCACUCAUUCUUCUAGCUCUGGUAAUAUUUCUAGUGGUUCUUUCACUAAGAAAUCCUCUUCUAAAGGCAAAGAAUCUUCUGCGCCUAUUCAAGAACCUUUGGUCGAAGAAAUAGUGUUGACCGACUUAUCUUUCGAGCAUGUAAAGAAUCCCUUCGUG